Molecule: long non-coding RNA, 940 nt
Organism: Lolium perenne
Lineage: Eukaryota; Viridiplantae; Streptophyta; Magnoliopsida; Poales; Poaceae
Source: RefSeq, a predicted model, not a curated record
UCGUUAACGCUUCGUCUUGUUCCUCCGCUCAACUGUACAGUACGACGGAAAAUUCUCCUCCUACCUCUAAUGGCGUUGCCGUCCGCGCAACAUAUGAAUAACCAGAUGGGACUUGGGGCCCCUUGGCUGGCGGGCGCCCUCCUGCCCCCCCCCCCCCCUCGGGCCGGCCCUGCCGCCAGAUUCGCCGCCGCCGACAGGAGCGCCUUCGGUGUGCCGGUGGAGGACGGACGACGGCGCGGGCGCUACGGCGCCUAAUCUUCACCACAACGGCCUCCUCGCCAUCUUGCCGUACGAACUCGUCGAGGACGCGUGCCGUGCUGCCGUGAUCCGCGCCGACAACAGCCAGGUCUACUCCGUCUAGGAGAUUCUGCGCUUGCUCCACUAAGCUGACGCGUACGUCGGCCUGCCCGUGCGAGACGCGGUCGCCGCACGCGCUCAAGGCCGGCGUCGAGGUUGGUGGGAGGAUCUCGCGGGGCUCCGUCGACCUUGCCUGCUAGUGUUCGGUGCUUCUGCACGCCAGCAAGUCACGGAUGCUGCCGACACCAAGCUCCUCGAGCCAGUGGCCGCAAGAUGCGCACCAACUCCUGGCCUCUAUCCCGGUCGUCUCCUACACAAGGCCAGGCCACGCCCGGCGCCCGCGCAGCAACCUGGGGCUUGGAGACUUGAUCAUGCAGUGGAGCUGGUUGCCGUGGCCCAGUGCGUGGUCGCGAUGGCUCCGACGAUGAGAAGAUCGGCGGCCAACGAGCUCGUGCAUAGGUGCCUGGCGACCUCGUGCAAGGGCGUAGCGGAGCGAGGCGGACCGCGGCUAGAUCCCCGGCGAAACCGCGUAGAGCGCACGAUGUGAAUACAGUUGCAGCCGUGAACUAUUUUUUUUAAACAUUGUAAUAUAUUAUAAACAUUUCUCUUGUAAUAUAAUAGCAGCAAGCAGCAUGCCUGAACU